Molecule: long non-coding RNA, 176 nt
Organism: Ornithodoros turicata
Lineage: Eukaryota; Metazoa; Arthropoda; Arachnida; Ixodida; Argasidae
Exons: 3
Source: RefSeq, a predicted model, not a curated record
GCCGCGCGCACGUGUUGGAAGAGGAACUGAGGCUGGCCCGGUAACCAAGAGCACGUUGAGGCUUGUGUUCUGUUCUAUUUCUGUGUUCCAACCAGUUGCUUGCCAUCAAGGAAGUUUCACUCGGUUCUGUGGAUCCCCUCCUGCAGGAGUCAAAGGCGAGCUUUUGUAGAGUUCAG